Molecule: ribosomal RNA, 301 nt
Filed under: uncultured bacterium
Lineage: Bacteria
Description: partial 16S ribosomal RNA
Rfam family: Bacterial small subunit ribosomal RNA
Source: RNAcentral
CAGUAGCCGCGGGAAUACGUAGGUCCCGAGCGUUGUCCGGAUUUAUUGGGCGUAAAGGGAGUGCAAGCGGUUUAGUAAGUCUGAAGUUAAAGGCAUUGGCUCAACCAAUGUAUGCUCUGGAAACUGUUAGACUUGAGUGCAGAAGGGGAGAGUGGAAUUCCAUGUGUAGCGGUGAAAUGCGUAGAUAUAUGGAGGAACACCGGUGGCGAAAGCGGCUCUCUGGUCUGUCACUGACGCUGAGGCUCGAAAGCAUGGGUAGCGAACAGGAUUAGAUACCCCCGUAGUCCCUGUCUCUUAUACC